GAAAAGUAAAUCACCCUUCGAUUACAAGUAUGCUGCUACUGAGGAUCAGCUCCAUGAUGAUCCAAAUGUAGCUCUUUUCUUCUUUGAGAAGAACAUGCAACCUGGGACAAAGAUGGAGUUGCACUUCAUUAGGGAUGCAAAUCUAGCCACCUUCUUGCCUCGUCAAGUUGCCAACUCCAUACCUUUUUCAUCCAAAAAAUUCCCAGAAAUUCUGAACGAGUUCUCGAUAAAACCAGAAUCAGAAGAAGCUGAGACAAUCAAGAACACAAUCAGAGAGUGUGAGGAGCCUGGGAUUAAAGGAGAGGAAAAGUAUUGUGCAACUUCACUAGAAUCCAUGGUUGAUUUCAGCACCUCAAAGCUUGGAAAAGGUGUUCAGGUGAUUUCAACAGAGGUGGAGAAGGAAACCCCGGAGCAGCAGUACACAAUUACAACUGGGGUGAAGAAGCUGGCAGGUGACAAAGCUGUGGUGUGUCACAAGCAGAGCUAUCCCUAUGCAGUGUUUUACUGCCACAAGACUCAGACCACAAGGGCUUAUAUGGUUCC
This 543-nucleotide long non-coding RNA is filed under the name Vitis vinifera (wine grape). Its description in RNAcentral is "long non-coding RNA (VVIN_LNC000935)". The record is from RNAcentral. Lineage: Eukaryota; Viridiplantae; Streptophyta; Magnoliopsida; Vitales; Vitaceae.